This 468-nucleotide ribosomal RNA is filed under the name uncultured bacterium. RNAcentral's name for it is "partial 16S ribosomal RNA". It matches the Rfam family "Bacterial small subunit ribosomal RNA", at positions 28 to 507 of the family's 1533-position model. The record is from RNAcentral.
GACGAACGCUGGCGGCGUGCUUAACACAUGAAAGUCGAACGGAAAGGCCCUGCUUUUGUGGGGUGCUCGAGUGGCGAACGGGUGAGUAACACGUGAGUAACCUGCCCUUGACUUUGGGAUAACUUCAGGAAACUGGGGCUAAUACCGGAUAGGAGCUUCUGAUGCAUGGUGGGGGUUGGAAAGUUUCGGCGGUUGGGGAUGGACUGGCGGCUUAUCAGCUCGUUGGUGGGGUAGUGGCUUACCAAGGCUUUGACGGGUAGCCGGCCUGAGAGGGUGACCGGCCACAUUGGGACUGAGAUACGGCCCAGACUCCUACGGGAGGCAGCAGUGGGGAAUAUUGCACAAUGGGCGGAAGCCUGAUGCAGCAACGCCGCGUGCGGGAUGACGGCCUUCGGGUUGUAAACCGCUUUCGCCUGUGACGAAGCGUGAGUGACGGUAAUGGGUAAAGAAGCACCGGCUAACUACGUG